This 194-nucleotide ribosomal RNA is filed under the name uncultured Hafnia sp. RNAcentral's name for it is "partial 16S ribosomal RNA". It matches the Rfam family "Bacterial small subunit ribosomal RNA", at positions 338 to 524 of the family's 1533-position model. Lineage: Bacteria; Pseudomonadati; Pseudomonadota; Gammaproteobacteria; Enterobacterales; Hafniaceae. The record is from RNAcentral.
CCUACGGGAGGCAGCAGUGGCGAAUAUUGCACAAUGGGCGCAAGCCUGAUGCAGCCAUGCCGCGUGUAUGAAGAAGGCCUUCGGGUUGUAAAGUACUUUCAGCGAGGAGGUAGGCAUUAAGGUUAAUAACCUURGUGAUUGACGUUACUCGCAGAAGAAGCACCGGCUAACUCCGUGCCAGCAGCCGCGGUAAU